CAGUCUUGAUUGAACGAGCGUGAAUCUGUUGGCCUUCUCUAAUCCCUUGAAUCAGAGCCAAUGCCUUGAGAACAAGAGGUAUUGUGAAUCCAUCUGGUUCGAGGCCGACGACAAGCAUUUCGUUCAAGAACUCCAUGGGCGAGAGAUUGAUGGAGUUGCGAGAAAUGCUGCGGAUGAUAGCGUUGCAGAGACUGAGACAGAAUUGAGCAUCAUGGGAGUGAGUAAGAAGGAUGGAGCGAAUGUAGAAAAGGUCAGGGGAGGAGGAGGAGGAGGAGGAGGAGAGAAAGAUGAGCUUGGGAAUGAGAUUGGGGAGAGAGAGAGAGGGUGUUUUAAUGGCGACGCCAUGGAUUUGCUUGAGGUGAGAUAUGGAUUUGCAGGAAUUGAGGGAGUGAGAAAAAAGAUGGAGUUGCAGGGAAUUCAUACACAGAUAUGGAUAUGGCUGUUGUAACGUUGUUGGAUGUGAAUGGUUCCUACUAUUUUGAUCUAUUACUAGAAGAACAAAAGCAACUCAGAAUUUGUUUUGGAGACGUUUCAUCAAACACUUUAGGAGCAAAAACCAAAUAACCAUCCAUCUAAGUAAAAUCUCCUAUGCCACAUCUCUUCACACCAACAACAUGCCGUAGCAGCAGAAAUUCAAACCCCAUUCAAAGGAACACAAAAAAUGCAGAGAAAACAUCUUUAAGAAUUAACCUCAAAUUUUCUUAGAAACCAAAUAUAUCCAAGUCUUUCCCAUCUCGAGGAGCAAAAAAGAAGUGUGAAGUCUGUCAGACCGCCUUGUGGCCAUCCCAGCAGGUUGGAAGCCUGCCAAGAACGAUCCUCCACAGCCGCCAGACCGAGAUCUGUCGAACCGUUAA
Molecule: long non-coding RNA, 854 nt
Organism: Cucumis sativus (cucumber)
Lineage: Eukaryota; Viridiplantae; Streptophyta; Magnoliopsida; Cucurbitales; Cucurbitaceae
Exons: 2
Source: RefSeq, a predicted model, not a curated record